Molecule: long non-coding RNA, 1807 nt
Organism: Gasterosteus aculeatus aculeatus (three-spined stickleback)
Lineage: Eukaryota; Metazoa; Chordata; Actinopteri; Perciformes; Gasterosteidae
Source: Ensembl
UGUGGUGCAGGCAUUGCCAUCCUAAAAGCUGCCAUGUGUAUUUUCCUGAACUUGCAUGUGUCUCCUUAAUUACCACCUGCAAAUCAAUAGGGCCAAAACCAGUGGGGUCAGUCAUCCUCCCUUUCACAUUCCCUCUAGUCGUAUAUUUGUGCAGCUCAAACUAACGUUGAGAUCACUUUUAAAAUGAUUUCCAUCUUUAUUGAAUGGCUUUACUUCAUUCCAUAUGAUUGAAAUGUUGUAUCCAUGACAAGUAAUCAAUUGUGGGUACCCAAAUGUUCUAUUAAGUAUUUUCUAUCCACAACAAAUACAAAUGCAAACCAAGGGGAACCAGACAGUUGUCCCUAUUUUGCAUCUCUUCGUUCCCUGCAUUGAAUGCCCUGGAGAAUCAAACUGGGUCUCCGUUAUUAGAGCGUCAUAGUAGGGGAAAAUGGAAGUCCAACUUCUCUCUUCUUUCUACCUUUCUAAAUGUCCUUAAUGUCUCACUCACUGCUGUCCACUGUCCAUGCUUCAUUUUCCUGUUUCUCCUGUCCGUGGACCAUUUCUUCAGUGGUCACUGCCCACUCCCUUUUGUACAUAAUGUAAGGUUAUUUAUAUUUCAUUCCUGUCUGCUGCCUUAUAUUUUCUUCUCCCUUCACCCUUCUUUUAAUAAAAAAAACAAUGUAUAUUGAACUGUAUCGGGACCAUUUUGAAAUGUAUUAGAUAUUUUGUUUUGGCCAUUUUUAAUUUGGUAAAACUGUCUUAAGCAAAUCCUAUUUUUAAUUUGCCAAUGUUUGUUUCUGGUGUUUUGAUAUUCAACAUUUGAAUAUAUGUAUAUAUAAUUAUAUAUAUAUAUAUAUAAUUAUAUAAUGCCCAAUGGCCUUUUUAAGCAAGAUACUGUUCAAACCUAAUAAAGUGCUUGAGAUUGUAUCACUUGUCUGUAUUUCUUAUCAUUUUAACUUCUAUAAAUAUAAUAUUAGACGCAAACAUGCAUCAGAGAACUCAAAUAUGUAAGUGCAGUGUUUUUGCUCAGUUAAAGUUGGGACAACCUGACGCUCAGUACAGUUCACAUCUUAUUGAAGACAAAUGACACAGUGGUGUAGUAAAGAGUAAAGAGUGUAGAAAAAACAAUUGUUUGUGUUGAUGUGUUGUCCUGUUAAAGGGUUUUUAAUCUGUGGUUAACCCUUCACCCCCUGAUCAAAUAGGAAUGUGCUUCUUGCACCAAUAAAUAACUGAAAUGGGAACAAUUAAGUGUUUGUGUGGAAAUUAAGACCCUGGAAUACAUUUCAGGAAAACAUGUUCACAUCAAGGUAUUGCUAUUGGGUUGUGUAUUAUUCAGUCCGGUGGACUUCUUCUUUGGGAUUUGUCAACAGUAGACCCUGCAACCCUGCUGUGAUUUUUCCAACUAUAGAUCGGGAGAUGGAAAGACAUGCAGUAUAAUUUAUAAAGAAUGUGAUGAAUAAGGCAGCGUGACAUUAUUGAGGAUCAAAAAAACGUUGGUUUCUUUCAUGCAUUAAUAGACUUUUGAGUGACAAAUCCUUUAAUGUCAAGCAUAAUCUGUACAUGAAACUGAAGCAAAUGUAUAAAUCUGUUAAAGGUUUGAAGGGAUUUAAGCUGUAAAAAGAAAGUAAAAGGUGUAAAUUAAACAUUCACCAUCGGCACUAUAAAUAUGGACAAAUGUGGUGGAAACAACAGGAAAGGAAGAGCACUUAGCGAGAGCGCUUACCUGUCUUCUAAAGGUAAGUGCUCUCGCUUCACACCAACUGUCAGUCACGUGUCAUCAUUGGUGCAUCUUGGAGUCAUCACGCUUCCAUAAAAAGUCCCUAUAGUC